This 502-nucleotide ribosomal RNA is filed under the name uncultured bacterium. Its description in RNAcentral is "partial 16S ribosomal RNA". It matches the Rfam family "Bacterial small subunit ribosomal RNA", at positions 30 to 523 of the family's 1533-position model. The record is from RNAcentral.
AUUGAACGCCGGCGGCAUGCCUUACACAUGCAAGUCGAACGGCAGCAUAGGAGCUUGCUCCUGAUGGCGAGUGGCGAACGGGUGAGUAAUAUAUCGGAACGUGCCCUAGAGUGGGGGAUAACUAGUCGAAAGACUAGCUAAUACCGCAUACGAUCUACGGACGAAAGUGGGGGAUCGCAAGACCUCAUGCUCCUGGAGCGGCCGAUAUCUGGUUAGCUAGUUGGUGGGGUAAAAGCCUACCAAGGCAACGAUCAGUAGCUGGUCUGAGAGGACGACCAGCCACACUGGGACUGAGACACGGCCCAGACUCCUACGGGAGGCAGCAGUGGGGAAUUUUGGACAAUGGGGGCAACCCUGAUCCAGCAAUGCCGCGUGAGUGAAGAAGGCCUUCGGGUUGUAAAGCUCUUUGGUCAGGGAAGAAACGGUAGUAGCGAAUAACUAUUACUAAUGACGGUACCUGAAGAAUAAGCACCGGCUAACUACGUGCCAGCAGCCGCCGUAA